UUAAGCGACUAAGCGUACACGGUGGAUGCCCUGGCAGUCAGAGGCGAUGAAGGACGUGCUAAUCUGCGAAAAGCGUCGGUAAGGUGAUAUGAACCGUUAUAACCGGCGAUGUCCGAAUGGGGAAACCCAGUGUGAUUCGUCACACUAUCGUUAACUGAAUACAUAGGUUAACGAGGCGAACCGGGGGAACUGAAACAUCUAAGUACCCCGAGGAAAAGAAAUCAACCGAGAUUCCCCCAGUAGCGGCGAGCGAACGGGGAGCAGCCCAGAGUCUGAAUCAGCUUGUGUGUUAGUGGAACGGUCUGGAAAGUCCGACGGUACAGGGUGAUAGUCCCGUACACCAAAAUGCACAGGUUGUGAACUCGAAGAGUAGGGCGGGACACGUGGUAUCCUGUCUGAAUAUGGGGGGACCAUCCUCCAAGGCUAAAUACUCCUGACUGACCGAUAGUGAACCAGUACCGUGAGGGAAAGGCGAAAAGAACCCCGGCGAGGGGAGUGAAAAAGAACCUGAAACCGUGUACGUACAAGCAGUGGGAGCACCUUCGGGUGUGACUGCGUACCUUUUGUAUAAUGGGUCAGCGACUUAUAUUCUGUAGCAAGGUUAACCGUAUAGGGGAGCCGCAGGGAAACCGAGUCUUAACUGGGCGUUAAGUUGCAGGGUAUAGACCCGAAACCCGGUGAUCUAGCCAUGGGCAGGUUGAAGGUUGGGUAACACUAACUGGAGGACCGAACCGACUAAUGUUGAAAAAUUAGCGGAUGACUUGUGGCUGGGGGUGAAAGGCCAAUCAAACCGGGAGAUAGCUGGUUCUCCCCGAAAGCUAUUUAGGUAGCGCCUCGUGAACUCAUCUUCGGGGGUAGAGCACUGUUUCGGCUAGGGGGUCAUCCCGACUUACCAACCCGAUGCAAACUACGAAUACCGAAGAAUGUUAUCACGGGAGACACACGGCGGGUGCUAACGUCCGUCGUGAAGAGGGAAACAACCCAGACCGCCAGCUAAGGUCCCAAAGUCAUGGUUAAGUGGGAAACGAUGUGGGAAGGCACAGACAGCCAGGAUGUUGGCUUAGAAGCAGCCAUCAUUUAAAGAAAGCGUAAUAGCUCACUGGUCGAGUCGGCCUGCGCGGAAGAUGUAACGGGGCUAAACCAUGCACCGAAGCUGCGGCAGCGACGCUUAUGCGUUGUUGGGUAGGGGAGCGUUCUGUAAGCCUGCGAAGGUGACCUGUGAGGGUUGCUGGAGGUAUCAGAAGUGCGAAUGCUGACAUAAGUAACGAUAAAGCGGGUGAAAAGCCCGCUCGCCGGAAGACCAAGGGUUCCUGUCCAACGUUAAUCGGGGCAGGGUGAGUCGACCCCUAAGGCGAGGCCGAAAGGCGUAGUCGAUGGGAAACAGGUUAAUAUUCCUGUACUUGGUGUUACUGCGAAGGGGGGACGGAGAAGGCUAUGUUAGCCGGGCGACGGUUGUCCCGGUUUAAGCAUGUAGGCGGAGGUUCCAGGUAAAUCCGGUACCUUUUAACGCUGAGGUGUGAUGACGAGGCACUACGGUGCUGAAGUAACAAAUGCCCUGCUUCCAGGAAAAGCCUCUAAGCAUCAGGUAACAUCAAAUCGUACCCCAAACCGACACAGGUGGUCAGGUAGAGAAUACCAAGGCGCUUGAGAGAACUCGGGUGAAGGAACUAGGCAAAAUGGUGCCGUAACUUCGGGAGAAGGCACGCUGGUGUGUAGGUGAAGUCCCUGCGGAUGGAGCUGAGACCAGUCGAAGAUACCAGCUGGCUGCAACUGUUUAUUAAAAACACAGCACUGUGCAAACACGAAAGUGGACGUAUACGGUGUGACGCCUGCCCGGUGCCGGAAGGUUAAUUGAUGGGGUUAUCCGUAAGGAGAAGCUCUUGAUCGAAGCCCCGGUAAACGGCGGCCGUAACUAUAACGGUCCUAAGGUAGCGAAAUUCCUUGUCGGGUAAGUUCCGACCUGCACGAAUGGCGUAAUGAUGGCCAGGCUGUCUCCACCCGAGACUCAGUGAAAUUGAACUCGCUGUGAAGAUGCAGUGUACCCGCGGCAAGACGGAAAGACCCCGUGAACCUUUACUAUAGCUUGACACUGAACAUUGAGCCUUGAUGUGUAGGAUAGGUGGGAGGCUUUGAAGCGUGGACGCCAGUCUGCGUGGAGCCAACCUUGAAAUACCACCCUUUAAUGUUUGAUGUUCUAACGUUGGCCCGUAAUCCGGGUUGCGGACAGUGUCUGGUGGGUAGUUUGACUGGGGCGGUCUCCUCCCAAAGAGUAACGGAGGAGCACGAAGGUUAGCUAAUCCUGGUCGGACAUCAGGAGGUUAGUGCAAUGGCAUAAGCUAGCUUGACUGCGAGCGUGACGGCGCGAGCAGGUGCGAAAGCAGGUCAUAGUGAUCCGGUGGUUCUGAAUGGAAGGGCCAUCGCUCAACGGAUAAAAGGUACUCCGGGGAUAACAGGCUGAUACCGCCCAAGAGUUCAUAUCGACGGCGGUGUUUGGCACCUCGAUGUCGGCUCAUCACAUCCUGGGGCUGAAGUAGGUCCCAAGGGUAUGGCUGUUCGCCAUUUAAAGUGGUACGCGAGCUGGGUUUAGAACGUCGUGAGACAGUUCGGUCCCUAUCUGCCGUGGGCGCUGGAGAAUUGAGGGGGGCUGCUCCUAGUACGAGAGGACCGGAGUGGACGCAUCACUGGUGUUCGGGUUGUCAUGCCAAUGGCACUGCCCGGUAGCUAAAUGCGGAAGAGAUAAGUGCUGAAAGCAUCUAAGCACGAAACUUGCCCCGAGAUGAGUUCUCCCUGAGACUUUAAGUCUCCUGAAGGAACGUUGAAGACGACGACGUUGAUAGGCCGGGUGUGUAAGCGCAGCGAUGCGUUGAGCUAACCGGUACUAAUGAACCGUGAGGCUUAACCUU
RNAcentral lists this ribosomal RNA (2903 nucleotides) under Klebsiella variicola. RNAcentral describes it as "bacterial LSU rRNA". It matches the Rfam family "Bacterial large subunit ribosomal RNA". Lineage: Bacteria; Pseudomonadati; Pseudomonadota; Gammaproteobacteria; Enterobacterales; Enterobacteriaceae. The record is from RNAcentral.